GACGAACGCUGGCGGCGUGCUUAACACAUGCAAGUCGAACGGAAAGGCCCUGCUUGCAGGGUACUCGAGUGGCGAACGGGUGAGUAACACGUGGGUGAUCUGCCCUGCACUUCGGGAUAAGCCUGGGAAACUGGGUCUAAUACCGGAUAGGAGCCAUUUUUAGUGUGAUGGUUGGAAAGUUUUUUCGGUGUAGGGUGAGCUCGCGGCCUAUCAGCUUGUUGGUGGGGUAAUGGCCUACCAAGGCGGCGACGGGUAGCCGGCCUGAGAGGGUGGACGGCCACAUUGGGACUGAGAUACGGCCCAGACUCCUACGGGAGGCAGCAGUGGGGAAUAUUGCACAAUGGGCGCAAGCCUGAUGCAGCGACGCCGCGUGGGGGAUGACGGCCUUCGGGUUGUAAACUCCUUUCGCUAGGGACGAAGCUUUUUGUGACGGUACCUAGAGAAGAAGCACCGGCUAACUACGUG
RNAcentral lists this ribosomal RNA (465 nucleotides) under uncultured bacterium. RNAcentral's name for it is "partial 16S ribosomal RNA". It matches the Rfam family "Bacterial small subunit ribosomal RNA", at positions 28 to 507 of the family's 1533-position model. The record is from RNAcentral.